RNAcentral lists this ribosomal RNA (468 nucleotides) under uncultured bacterium. RNAcentral's name for it is "partial 16S ribosomal RNA". It matches the Rfam family "Bacterial small subunit ribosomal RNA", at positions 28 to 507 of the family's 1533-position model. The record is from RNAcentral.
GACGAACGCUGGCGGCGUGCUUAACACAUGCAAGUCGAACGGAAAGGCCCUGCUUUUGUGGGGUGCUCGAGUGGCGAACGGGUGAGUAACACGUGAGUAACCUGCCCUUGACUUUGGGAUAACUUCAGGAAACUGGGGCUAAUACCGGAUAGGAGCUCCUGCUGCAUGGUGGGGGUUGGAAAGUUUCGGCGGUUGGGGAUGGACUCGCGGCUUAUCAGCUUGUUGGUGGGGUAGUGGCUUACCAAGGCUUUGACGGGUAGCCGGCCUGGGAGGGUGACCGGCCACAUUGGGACUGAGAUACGGCGCAGACUCCUACGGGGGGCAGCAGUGGGGAAUAUUGCACAAUGGGCGGAAGCCUGAUGCAGCAACGCCGCGUGCGGGAUGACGGCCUUCGGGUUGUAAACCGCUUUCGCCUGUGACGAAGCGUGAGUGACGGUAAUGGGUAAAGAAGCACCGGCUAACUACGUG